This 510-nucleotide ribosomal RNA is filed under the name Lamprosphaerus sp. JGZ-2004-2. RNAcentral describes it as "partial 16S ribosomal RNA". It matches the Rfam family "Bacterial large subunit ribosomal RNA", at positions 1860 to 2600 of the family's 2925-position model. The record is from RNAcentral. Lineage: Eukaryota; Metazoa; Arthropoda; Insecta; Coleoptera; Chrysomelidae.
GGCCUUUUGAUUUUAAUUUAAGGUCAGGCCUGCCCAAUGAUUUUUUGAAUGGCCGCGGUAUAUUGACCGUGCUAAGGUAGCAUAAUCAUUAGUUUUUUAAUUGGAGACUGGAAUGAAAGGUUUGAUGAGAAAAUUACUGUCUCUUUUUAAUUUUAAUUGAAUUUUAUUUUUAAGUAAGAAAGCUUAAAUUUUUUUGAAAGACGAUAAGACCCUAUAGAGUUUUAUUAAACUUGAUUUUAUUUGUUUUAGUAAAUAUUAUAUUUAAAGUUAAUUUUAAUUUGGUUGGGGUGAUUGGAAAAUUUAUUUAACUUUUCUUUGUUUAUGUCACUAAUUAGUGUUUUUAUGAUCCAAAAUUUUUGAUUAUAAGAUAAAAUUACCUUAGGGAUAACAGCGUAAUAUUUUUUGAGAGUUCUAAUCGAAAAAAGAGAUUGCGACCUCGAUGUUGGAUUAAGAUAAAAUUUUGGUGUAGAAGCUUAAAUAUUAAGUCUGUUCGACUUUUUAAAUCUUACA